Molecule: ribosomal RNA, 843 nt
Filed under: uncultured bacterium
Lineage: Bacteria
Description: bacterial SSU rRNA
Rfam family: Bacterial small subunit ribosomal RNA
Source: RNAcentral
GGUCUUCGGACGCUGACGAGUGGCGGACGGGUGAGUAAUACAUCGGAACGUGCCCAGUCGUGGGGGAUAACUACUCGAAAGAGUAGCUAAUACCGCAUACGAUCUGAGGAUGAAAGCGGGGGACCUUCGGGCCUCGCGCGAUUGGAGCGGCCGAUGGCAGAUUAGGUAGUUGGUGGGAUAAAAGCUUACCAAGCCGACGAUCUGUAGCUGGUCUGAGAGGACGACCAGCCACACUAGGACUGAGACACGGCCCAGACUCCUACGGGAGGCAGCAGUGGGGAAUUUUGGACAAUGGGCGAAAGCCCGAUCCAGCAAUGCCGCGUGCAGGAUGAAGGCCUUCGGGUUGUAAACUGCUUUUGUACGGAACGAAAAAGCUUCUCCUAAUACGAGAGGCCCAUGACGGUACCGUAAGAAUAAGCACCGGCUAACUACGUGCCAGCAGCCGCGGUAAUACGUAGGGUGCGAGCGUUAAUCGGAAUUACUGGGCGUAAAGCGUGCGCAGGCGGUUAUGUAAGACAGAUGUGAAAUCCCCGGGCUCAACCUGGGAACUGCAUUUGUGACUGCAUGGCUAGAGUACGGUAGAGGGGGAUGGAAUUCCGCGUGUAGCAGUGAAAUGCGUAGAUAUGCGGAGGAACACCGAUGGCGAAGGCAAUCCCCUGGACCUGUACUGACGCUCAUGCACGAAAGCGUGGGGAGCAAACAGGAUUAGAUACCCUGGUAGUCCACGCCCUAAACGAUGUCAACUGGUUGUUGGGAAUUAGUUUUCUCAGUAACGAAGCUAACGCGUGAAGUUGACCGCCUGGGGAGUACGGCCGCAAGGUUGAACUCAAAGGAAUUGACGGG